UUUUUGGUAACAUUAAUAAUUGGUCAAUUGGUACUGGAAGAUAAAAUAUCAAGCGAGAUAUUUUAUUAUUACUUGAUAUUAUAUAUUAUAUAUAUUAUAUAUAUAAUUGUGUGGUGUAGAAAGAAAGAGAAGAAAAGUGGGUAAGAAGAAGAGAAGAUAUAUCAGAAAGAAGAAAAGAAAGGAAAGAAAAGAAAGAGGAAAAGAAGAAAGGAGAAAGUGGAAGAAGAGGAGAAGAAGAGGAAGGAACCA
RNAcentral lists this long non-coding RNA (249 nucleotides) under Lathyrus oleraceus (garden pea). RNAcentral's name for it is "Pisum sativum (pea) long non-coding RNA (PSAT_LNC040197)". The record is from RNAcentral. Lineage: Eukaryota; Viridiplantae; Streptophyta; Magnoliopsida; Fabales; Fabaceae.